Molecule: ribosomal RNA, 247 nt
Filed under: uncultured bacterium
Lineage: Bacteria
Description: partial 16S ribosomal RNA
Rfam family: Bacterial small subunit ribosomal RNA
Source: RNAcentral
AUACGGAGGAUCCAAGCGUUAUCCGGAUUUAUUGGGUUUAAAGGGUGCGUAGGCGGACUUAUAAGUCAGCGGUGAAAGUUUGCAGCUUAACUGUAAAAUUGCCGUUGAAACUGUUAGUCUUGAGUGUAAAUGAGGUAGGCGGAAUGUGUUGUGUAGCGGUGAAAUGCUUAGAUAUAACACAGAACACCAAUUGCGAAGGCAGCUUACUGGACUGUAACUGACGCUGAAGCACGAAAGCGUGGGGAGC